Artibeus jamaicensis (Jamaican fruit-eating bat) is the source of this 4557-nucleotide long non-coding RNA. RefSeq lists it as uncharacterized. NCBI's taxonomy places the organism in Eukaryota, Metazoa, Chordata, Mammalia, Chiroptera, Phyllostomidae. The transcript has 11 exons. The record is from RefSeq and is a predicted model, not a curated record.
UAUCCGCCCCCCCCCAACCCUGAACUGGGUUUAUGUGCGUCCCUCGCACCCCCUCCUCUCCCUUUCUUUCUCUGUCUCUGUCUUCUCUCUCGCUGGCUUUUUAAAAAUGAGGACCCGUUCCUUGAACGUUCUGGACGGAGCCCAGAAUUGCUCCUUAAGUCCGCCCGCCGCGGUUGCAAUAGACAGCCAAAAGGUAAACGUUUGCCUGAAAUCCGCACGCCGGCUCCACCACCCCGCCGGAUGGUGCCCUUUGUCCGGCAUGGUGCCACAGGCGAAGGACCCCGGGGUACCAAACACCCAGCAUCUCCAGCAGAUCUAGCCUGGACAUCUUCAAGGCGGUGCCGGGGUCCACACCCGAGGACUUUUUGGUGGGGUUUGCUGUGCAGCUGCUAACCUUUCUUUGGAUAUAGUAAUCAACUUUUCCCAAUGGUUUUAUUGAACCAGGAAGUGACUAGAGGGACUGGGAAGAAAUGCGAACACAUUUUACAGUGAAGGUGAGCUGUGACUCCAGGAGAAAAAUCACGUUGCCUCAUCUUCAGUUGUAGAAAAAGAGCCACCGAUCCCCUCCAAACACAGGCGUCAGGUUCCUCUCCAACCCCCAAAGUGAGCCCCGUGCCGAAGCCUUGAUGUGAAAAGUACUUCCCGUUCUCCAGUGUGUGCGUCCAUCAGGAGGAGCAUGCCGGGGCAGCGUGGACAACCUCCUGGCCCGAUCUCCGAGAUCUCUGGCAGCAACGUUGCUGCUGUCAUCCUGGUGAGCUGGGUACGUGGGAGAGGCCCUGACCCCCUUCGAUCUCCGAAUGCCUGCUGGUGGCCCUGCUGUUUACAUCCCUCGCCAGGGGGACACAGCCCCUUCCAACAGAUGCCGGUCCUCUCGCUGAGUUCAGAACUCGAUGCCCCUUCAUCUGUUGGGAGGCUGGGAGGCCUUACCCACCGCUGACCUGGUCAUCUAGCUCCAGCCUGGUGAAGAGGUACCAUCCCAAUGGACAGCAGUGUCCCAGCCCAAUCCUACUGAGUCAUUUGUCAAGCCUGGUGCUUGUUUUCGGUUCCCGAGACUGACCUGCGCGUUGUGAGACACACGCAUUCUGUGACCUUUAUCUUCACAUCCUUCCCCGUCCGCGCUGCUCUUGGGCAUCAAAUCAGCCGCUUCCUCUCGUUCCAGAUGCGCUGCCAGCUUGGGGUGGUUUGAGUUGAGUGGGUCGGACAAGGGGAAAUAGGCGAUUUCCUCUGCCUCUUGUAGACUUAAUCUCUCAUCCAGAUACCUCUAAAGCAUCUCUUUCAACAGCAGGCUUUUGUCCGGGGUGAGCAGCAGAACUGGGAAGAGCAACUUUCUUCUUAACAGUGCUGCAAGUCAGAGUCCAAAUGACAGACGCUUUCCUGGUUCCGAAGAUGACACUUCAGCGCUUACGUUUCUUUCAACAGCUCACCCCAGGUGGAGGGAGAGAUGGCAACGUCCUGUGUCUCUUCCAGAGUGGGGUGAGGAGCGGGGCCGACCAAUGGUGUCACCCGCUGGAAAUACUCUUUUCUUGGGUCCACUAUUCGAUGUUUGGGGGCUUCCCUCCUGUCUGCAUAAAUUUCCUCUGUUUACUUUCUGGAAGAUUUUAUUUAUUUAAUUUUAGAGAGAGGGGAAGAGAGGGAGGAAGACAGGGCGAGAGACAUGGAUGGGAGAGCGAAACACGGAUCAGUUGCUUCUUGUUCGCACCCCAACCAGGGACCGAACCCGCAACUCAGGUUUUCCAACUACUGGUAGGUCUUUGGGGACUGGAGACCUGCCUCAUUCAUGGGCGACCACCUGGGGAGCAAUUCAAAUCAGCAGCACAUAAUGUGGGUUCAGAACAUUCACCGACGUCGAACCUUCCCGGAGACUGAGCCAUCCCAAGUCUGAAGGGGCGUCCCCGUUACUCGGAAAACUUCCGUCCCCUUCCUCCUGUGGUGUGUGUCAAGUAUAUUGAAGAGUCUUGUGAAGCAGAUCGCCUUAUUGGCAAAGAAAUGAAAGACCUCCAGGAAGAUGGAUGGGGAGCUCUUCUCAAGGGUGUUCCCAUCUCUGUGUGCAGAACAAAACUCUGGGCGGCUGGGAAGAUGUGUGCCAGUGGUAAGAGCUGGACAUCAGGCAACCUCUCACCAGGCUGUUACAUCCUUCCACGCCAAAGAAAUGAAGGAGCAGAGCGGAGAUGCUGACCCUGUAAAGGAGGGCAUAGGAUGGAGUGAUACCAGCAGGGCAGUCCAUGAAUACCCAUCACAGGCCUGAAAGAGUUAAUGUGCUACAAUGCCUCCCCCUCCCGUCUGGUACCCGGGGAGUCCAGCCCCGCUGGGUGAAGGCUACUGAUGCAUUAGGCUCCAAGGAACCCACUGCCUGUCUGGUCACUGUGCAGAAGUCUGUUCUCCCAGUUUUCUAAGUGGUAAUCCUAGAAUUAUCUUGGCUCAGAAAUAAAUGAAGAACAUGUGUUCCGGACUCCAGUUUCCCCACAGGGGCUGUGGCAGAAACAAGGAUGAAGUCCCAGGACCCAGAACCUCUCCAGCAGCGGACCACGCGUCAACCGCCGAACAUUCUCUUGGAGAAGGCUCUCGGCCUUUCUCUUUCCCACAGUGUGAGAUCAAGUAUAGGGAGGGAGGCAAAAGCAAAGCAAUGGAGCUUCUUCAAAGGUUUGCCAGUCGGGAAAGACGGGGCUAUAUUUAGUUCCCUGACGGUCUGUCCAGGAAGCUAAAGCCACCAGGCAAUGAAGUGGUAAAUGGUAUAUACACACUGAAGAGUAGACACACUCCUGAAGUUCAUGGCUCUGAAACAACUUCAAGUCCAAAAGGAGCCUGCAGAUCGAAUUCAAACAAAAUGACAGACAGAACGUCGACAUGAACAAUGGUGGUGUAACAUGAUGGAUGAUGGACGGCUAACUUUCGGUCGCAACUGGUGGCCUUAAUGUUUCACCAACUGGAAUGAGGAAGAUUGAUUUGAGCAUGCGUAUCUUGCCGUGGGAUGUAUACAGUGAUUCUUCUAGCAUUUUCCCCUAGUUAAGCUGCUGCCAAGCUUUGGUCCACACAGCAUACUAGAGGUUCAGUUGACUGUCUCUUGGCAUAAAUGUAUGAUUUACCUGUUGGGGGGAUCCAGGUGUUGUGGGGCCUGGGUAGUGUUCGAUUUGGGCGGCUUUCUUUCGUGAAAGUACAAUACAAACAGAUGCCUCCCGCAGUCCCCCUUGAAAGGGACCUAUGCACAUGAGAACUCUUGAAGCUCAAGUUUAAUUACCUUCAUGCUAAAUCCACCUGUUUUCAUGUAUCAAGUCCUUCUCGAUUGUUUUUCCCUUGUGGUUGAUCAAGCAGUAUGAUCGGGCAGCAUUCACGAGUGGCUUUUUCAUUUUAUUUUAAGAAGAUCAGCUUUAAAUGGCAUAUUUGUGCCUUUAAGAUCCUUCUCAAAAACGAAAUUAAACAUUACUAUUGACAACACAGGGACUGUUGGGAAAGAUAUUCCUAUUAAAUCCUUUUCCCCUUACAAAUUCCUCAGAGGAGAGAUGAUGCCGAGGCGAAGUUUUAGGGUCCUGCUGUACUUGGCUGUGAUUGGCUUAUAGCGGUCAAUAUUUGGGAGGGAAAUACAGAGGGGAGCAGUUCGCUGGAAUAACUUUUCCCAGCCUGUCUGAAUUGUUGGAGCUUUGCGCACAGCCCCUGUGAGUUUCCAACCCCUGGGCCCCAUAUCUUGUCCUGUCCCUGGCCUCAUGUCAAGGUGGACAGAACCUGUAGGGCUAAAGUGAAUCUCAGGCUAGAUCAUCUGGGAGGGCCAGAGGGAUAAACGGAAUCCAGACACCACCAUUCAUUUCAGGGACAAAGGUGGUGAUCAGAUAGGUCAUGAGUCAGAGCCUAGGAGUCAUCAAACAGAAGUCACGGGGGUACAGAAGGGUCAGGCUAGCAACAGAAAUCAGGGUCAGGAAGAACUCACAGCCAAGACCUCGCUGGCACGGUGGGGUGGAUAUUAACAUCAUGGUCAAGCAAGUCUCAGGCUUUGGCAGGGCGGUCUCCCUGCCGUCCUUGCCUGGUAGGACUCGUGUCUACAGACUGUUUUGGGGCCCAUCAGUGCUGGGUCUGCAAGCCUUGUAGAGGACAGGGAGUAGGUGUGGCUCUUUUAGUCGAGGGAAAUUCUGGAAUCGCUUUGACUAGAGUCGGAGAACAAGAUGAGGCCUCCCCCAGCCCCGAGGGCUCUUCCUUCUAAGACAGGAGGGUUUUCUGAGAAGCCUUCAGGUGAGAGCCUGCAGGGCCCUGUACUGAGCACACGCAUUCUGAUGAGCUUGGUUCCCAGAAAAUGCGCAUGUGGGAAAGCUUUGGGGCUUGCCAUUUAAAAAAAAAUCCUAACUUUCUAUUUCUCUACCUUAUGGGGUUACUAUCAAGUUCAAGUGAGAUUACACAUGUACAUAAAAGAGCUUUGUACUUGGUGAGGAGCCACCUGUAGCAGGUGUUGUAACCCUAUUUCUUUCCCGGGAAGGUGCUGAUUUGUGUCACCCUUGAUAAUUACACUAUUUUUAAGUGUGACCAUUUUGCCUGAUAAACACUUUUUUUUUUCCUGUUUCCUUUCUGCUUCGU